AACCCGGACCUGCACGAAGCCGGAAUCGCUAGUAAUCGCAGAUCAGCAUGCUGCGGUGAAUACGUUCCCGGGUCUUGUACACACCGCCCGUCACACCAUGGGAGUCGGAAAUGCCCGAAGUCAGUGGCCCAACCGCAAGGAGGGAGCUGCCGAAGGCAGGUCCGGUGACUGGGGUGAAGUCGUAACAAGGUAAC
This 194-nucleotide ribosomal RNA is filed under the name uncultured bacterium. Its description in RNAcentral is "partial 16S ribosomal RNA". It matches the Rfam family "Bacterial small subunit ribosomal RNA", at positions 1309 to 1500 of the family's 1533-position model. The record is from RNAcentral.